GACGAACGCUGGCGGCGUGCUUAACACAUGCAAGUCGAACGGAAAGGCCCUGCUUUUGUGGGGUGCUCGAGUGGCGAACGGGUGAGUAACACGUGAGUAACCUGCCCUUGACUUUGGGAUAACUUCAGGAAACUGGGGCUAAUACCGGAUAGGAGCUCCUGCUGCAUGGUGGGGGUUGGAAAGUUUCGGCGGUUGGGGAUGGACUCGCGGCUUAUCAGCUUGUUGGUGGGGUAGUGGCUUACCAAGGCUUUGACGGGUAGCCGGCCUGAGAGGGUGACCGGCCACAUUGGGACUGAGAUACGGCCCAGACUCCUACGGGAGGCAGCAGUGGGGAAUAUUGCACAAUGGGCGGAAGCCUGAUGCAGCAACGCCGCGUGCGGGAUGACGGCCUUCGGGUUGUAAACCGCUUUCGCCUGUGACGAAGCGUGAGUGACGGUAAUGGGUAAAGAAGCACCGGCUAACUACGUGCCAGCAGCCGCGGUGAUACGUAGGGUGCGAGCGUUGUCCGGAUUUAUUGGGCGUAAAGGGCUCGUAGGUGGUUGAUCGCGUCGGAAGUGUAAUCUUGGGGCUUAACCCUGAGCGUGCUUUCGAUACGGGUUGACUUGAGGAAGGUAGGGGAGAAUGGAAUUCCUGGUGGAGCGGUGGAAUGCGCAGAUAUCAGGAGGAACACCAGUGGCGAAGGCGGUUCUCUGGGCCUUUCCUGACGCUGAGGAGCAAAAGCGUGGGGAGCGAACAGGCUUAGAUACCCUGGUAGUCCACGCUGUAAACGGUGGGUACUAGGUGUGGGGUCCAUUCCACGGGUUCCGUGCCGUAGCUAACGCUUUAAGUACCCCGCCUGGGGAGUACGGCCGCAAGGCUAAAACUCAAAGGAAUUGACGGGGCCCCGCACAAGCGGCGGAGCAUGCGGAUUAAUUCGAUGCAACGCGUAGAACCUUACCUGGGUUUGACAUGGAUCGGGAGUGCUCAGAGAUGGGUGUGCCUCUUUUGGGGUCGGUUCACAGGUGGUGCAUGCCUGUCGUCAGCUCGUGUCGUGAGAUGUUGGGUUAAGUCCCGCAACGAGCGCAACCCUUGUUCACUGUUGCCAGCACGUUAUGGUGGGGACUCAGUGGAGACCGCCGGGGUCAACUCGGAGGAAGGUGGGGAUGACGUCGAGUCCUCAUGCCCCUUAUGUCCAGGGCUUCACGCAUGCUACAAUGGCUGGUACAGAGAGUGGCGAGCCUGUGAGGGUGAGCGAAUCUCGGAAAGCCGGUCUCAGUUCGGAUUGGGGUCUGCAACUCGACCUCAUGGAGUCGGAGUCGCUAGUAAUCGCAGAUCAGCAACGCUGCGGUGAAUACGUUCCCGGGGC
Molecule: ribosomal RNA, 1345 nt
Filed under: uncultured bacterium
Lineage: Bacteria
Description: bacterial SSU rRNA
Rfam family: Bacterial small subunit ribosomal RNA
Source: RNAcentral